AUGACGUCCUAUACAUAUGGACAUAUCAUUCGCAGUCUGAUAACGGAACGGCAAAAGUUUGCAUAAAGACAAUGUAAGCACACCUUUCUCCUUAGUCAUGUGCUAUAAAAAGUGCUUAAAUAAAUAAUUAACGACUUAACAAAAGAUGGUGUGAAAUGUCAUCGCUGGUGCUUCCCGUGUGGCGUCAAUUUGGUCCAGAUCUGACAAUGGUAACAACUCAAUAUCGCGCCAGCCGAUUUUGUUACUUCUAUUUUUAUUGGAAAGGAUAUACUAACGUCACCUUUCCCGUACACGAGAUAAUGAAAGAGAAUUGGCGCCAGUUCGUAGAAAGAGACGUGAAGAAAUUUACAAACCAUAUAAGGAUAUUUGUAAUAUUUCACCACUAAAGGAAUUAAGUUUUUUGGAUUAACACACAUUUAAAAUUUGACAAAAGCAACAUAUACCAUACAACAUAUACAUAUACCAAAAAGAUACCCUGGAAAAGAUAUCCAAGUCUAAAAGACAAAUUUUAUUUAA
Long non-coding RNA from Leptidea sinapis, 516 nucleotides. RefSeq lists it as uncharacterized. NCBI's taxonomy places the organism in Eukaryota, Metazoa, Arthropoda, Insecta, Lepidoptera, Pieridae. The transcript has 3 exons. The record is from RefSeq and is a predicted model, not a curated record.